GGCAUGUUAUCAAGAACACGUGGUAAACUCUUAUAACAAAGGCAAUGACCUUUUCCUCUGUAUUUUAGGAUAAAAUAACAGCUAUUGCCUUGACAUUAUGAAUUCAUUGUAUAAUUCCGACAUGUUACAAAGGAAACAAACUCUCUUAGUAUUCUUAGUGGCUAAAUUUUGCAAAGGGAAGAAUACAUUUAGAUAAUCGUUAAGGAUAACAGAAAUUGCAGCAGUAAAAAAUAAAAGGAUGUCAGAUUCAAAUUCAACCUGUGGGUAUAAUUACUCAGAUACUAAACUUAAUCCCAUUUCCUGAAAUGUGACACCAGCUUUACAGGUACCAUUGCUUAUAAUAUAUCAGGCUGAAGUAUGGCUUUUCCCCGUGCAUCUCGGGGACAGUGUGGUAGAUGAAAGAAAGUGGGCUUUGGAGCCCAUGAGAACAAAGUUAUCCAAAGGACAGCACUUACUAGUACUGUGAUCUCAGAAACAUGACCUACUCUCUUUUGAGCUUCAGAUUAUCAAUUUUCGAAAUGAGAAUAAUCAUACUUACCUACCUGGAGGUUAUGAUGCCCAUGCUAAGGAUGUAAUUCCAGUGCCAGCCAGGAACUUGGAAUAUAGAGGUAGAGAGAAGAUGUGAGCCUAUACAAAUAAAUAGAGUUAUAACUUGGGCUAAGGGCAAACUGGGAUUAGCACUGUGUGAGCAAAUAAUGGGGACAAGGGCAUACAGAGAAAAAAAAAAACAUGUAGGUAGUGACUAGGUACAACAGACAGAAACCUGUUAUGGAAUGGAUUUGCCCCCAAAAUCCAUACUUUGAAAUCCUAACUACCCAUGGGACUGUACUUGGAUACCAGAUCUUGAAAGGAAGAGAGUGGACACCUACACACACAGAAGGAGACCACGUGAAGGCAGCAGGAAGGAGGUCGUUCACAAGUCAUGGAGAGAGGAGACCCACCCUGGCCACACAUUGAUUUAAAGUGUGACAAAAUAAAUAAAUCAAUUUCUGUUGCUUAA
Leopardus geoffroyi (Geoffroy's cat) is the source of this 1000-nucleotide long non-coding RNA. RefSeq lists it as uncharacterized. NCBI's taxonomy places the organism in Eukaryota, Metazoa, Chordata, Mammalia, Carnivora, Felidae. The transcript has 2 exons. The record is from RefSeq and is a predicted model, not a curated record.